GUUCCGUAGGUGAACCUGCGGAAGGAUCAUUAUUGUAUAACCGAGGUGCGAGGGCUGUCGCUGACCCGAAAGGUCGUGCACGCCCGAGUGCCCUCACACACAUCCAUCUCACCCCUAUGUGCACCACCGCGUGGGUCCCCCUUUGGCUUGUUCGGAGGGGGGCUUACGUUUUCACACAAACUUUGUAUGCAGUGUAGAAUGUAUUUUUUGUUUUUGCGAUCACGCAAUCAAUACAACUCUCAACAACGGAUCUCUUGGCUCUC
Molecule: unclassified non-coding RNA, 263 nt
Filed under: plant metagenome
Description: partial contains small subunit ribosomal RNA, internal transcribed spacer 1, and 5.8S ribosomal RNA
Source: RNAcentral